UUACUUUUGCAGUAGAUAUUCUAAAAUUUGAAGGCUACAGAGAAGAUUAACAUGCUUCUUGCACAAUGAUGAUGUGUGAGCUUAUCAAGUUUUUAAUGCUUUU
This 103-nucleotide small nuclear RNA is filed under the name Tupaia belangeri (northern tree shrew). Lineage: Eukaryota; Metazoa; Chordata; Mammalia; Scandentia; Tupaiidae. The record is from RNAcentral.